GCAGCUAAUCAAUAUGUGAAAUUUAUUUCAGAAAAUUAUCCAACAAGAGAGAGCAUAAUUUAGUUGACACACAAUAAUUUUUUUAUUUAUUUCCUCUCCUGGGAAACAUGGUACACGUAAAUAGACAAAGAAAAUCUUUUGUAUAUCUCAAGAGAUCAUAUCAAUUGAACAUAAACGAACUAACACUUGCUUGAUUGAUAGGUAAAGCAGUACCCAUAUUUUUAUUCAAUUAAACACAACAGAAAAGAAUAACAUUUUAAUUAACCAGUGCGGUCGGCAUUUCUCCCAUAUUGAGGGACAACAAGAAAAUCCAGAUCCUCAUUCGCAAUGCCACCAUCUGAAAUGCUGAGAAGAGGAAAUAGUGCAACGACCCCCUCCGACCAACUGUUAUCUCCUGAAAAUUUAUAAUAGAAAACUUAGUCGUGAGUAACAUUUCAAAAUUAUAAGAAUCGUAAUUCAACUGAAAAUGGCCUAAAAACCUGCGCAAGUAGUUUCCAUAUUCUUCAAAUCGAAAAGAUCUCUGCUUCGGUAGUCAAAACUCAAGAAGUAGUCAAGUUGCUUCUGCGAGUUUUUGCUAUUUGGGAAAUACACAUAUAUGGUCUAUAUAUAGAUAGACUGAAGUAGCCGACGAUAGUGCCAAGGUGGGUGAUUGGGGCGUAUUUAAUUAUUUACAAGACGACCUAACAACAUUACAUAAUACCGUCUUUUCUUUGAAAAUGCUCUGUUGUUUUCUGAAACAUUUUUUAAUGGCUCAGAAGCAUCUCAUGGCAGAUAAUUGAAGAUCUGUAGUCGGUGCUGGACUCGACAAACAUAGUCCUUUACUUUGCU
This 828-nucleotide long non-coding RNA is filed under the name Citrus x clementina. Its description in RNAcentral is "Citrus clementina (C. clementina) long non-coding RNA (CCLE_LNC002656)". The record is from RNAcentral. Lineage: Eukaryota; Viridiplantae; Streptophyta; Magnoliopsida; Sapindales; Rutaceae.